GACCUCAGAUCAGGCAAGACUACCCGCUGAAUUUAAGCAUAUCAAUAAGCGGAGGAAAAGAAACUAACAAGGAUUCCCCCAGUAACGGCGAGUGAAGCGGGAAGAGCUCAAAUUUGAAAUCUCCGAAGGGCGAAUUCGUUUA
RNAcentral lists this ribosomal RNA (142 nucleotides) under Zoanthus sansibaricus. Its description in RNAcentral is "partial 28S ribosomal RNA". It matches the Rfam family "Eukaryotic large subunit ribosomal RNA", at positions 1 to 150 of the family's 3401-position model. Lineage: Eukaryota; Metazoa; Cnidaria; Anthozoa; Zoantharia; Zoanthidae. The record is from RNAcentral.